RNAcentral lists this ribosomal RNA (281 nucleotides) under Chaetoceros curvisetus. RNAcentral's name for it is "partial Bacterial large subunit ribosomal RNA". It matches the Rfam family "Bacterial large subunit ribosomal RNA", at positions 1948 to 2228 of the family's 2925-position model. Lineage: Eukaryota; Bacillariophyta; Thalassiosirophyceae; Chaetocerotales; Chaetocerotaceae. The record is from RNAcentral.
GUCCUAAGGAAGCGAAAUUCCUUGUCGGGUAAGUUUCGACCCGCACGAAAGGCGUAAUGAUUUGGGCACUGUCUCAACGAGAGACUCGGUGAAAUUUUAGUACCUGUGAAGAUGCAGGUUACCCGCGACAGGACGGAAAGACCCCAUGGAGCUUUACUGCAGUUUGAUAUUGAGUGUCUGUACCACAUGUACAGGAUAGGUAGGAGUCUAUGAGAUCGGGACGCCAGUUUCGAAGGAGACGUUGUUGGGAUACUACCCUUGUGUUAUGGCCACUCUAACCC